CCUACGGGAGGCAGCAGUGAGGAAUAUUGGUCAAUGGACGAGCGUCUGAACCAGCCAAGUAGCGUGAAGGAUGACUGCCCUAUGGGUUGUAAACUUCUUUUAUAUGGGAAUAAAAUGUUCCACGUGUGGGAUUUUGUAUGUACCAUAUGAAUAAGGAUCGGCUAACUCCGUGCCAGCAGCCGCGGUAAUACGGAGGAUCCGAGCGUUAUCCGGAUUUCUUGGGUUUAAAGGGAGCGUAGGUGGAUUGUUAAGUCAGUUGUGAAAGUUUGCGGCUCAACCGUAAAAUUGCAGUUGAAACUGGCAGUCUUGAGUACAGUAGAGGUGGGCGGAAGUCGUGGUGUAGCGGUGAAAUGCUUAGAUAUCACGAAGAACUCCGAUUGCGAAGGCAGCUCACUGGACUGCAACUGACACUGAGGCUCGAAAGUGUGGGUAUCAAACAGGAUUAGAUACCCCUGUAGUC
Molecule: ribosomal RNA, 460 nt
Filed under: uncultured bacterium
Lineage: Bacteria
Description: partial 16S ribosomal RNA
Rfam family: Bacterial small subunit ribosomal RNA
Source: RNAcentral